RNAcentral lists this ribosomal RNA (253 nucleotides) under uncultured bacterium. Its description in RNAcentral is "partial 16S ribosomal RNA". It matches the Rfam family "Bacterial small subunit ribosomal RNA", at positions 524 to 776 of the family's 1533-position model. The record is from RNAcentral.
UACGGGGGGGGUAAGCGUUGUUCGGAAUUACUGGGCGUAAAGGGCUCGUAGGCGGCCAACUAAGUCAUACGUGAAAUCCCUCAGCUUAACUGGGGAACUGCGUGUGAUACUGGAUGGCUUGGAUCUGGGAGAGGGAUGCGGAAUUCCAGGUGUAGCGGUGAAAUGCGUAGAUAUCUGGAGGAACACCGGUGGCGAAGGCGGCAUCCUGGACCAAUAUUGACGCUGAGGAGCGAAAGCCAGGGGAGCAAACGGG